UUAGAUGCGAGGAGACACUGUUUCAAAGAUGCCGAACCGUUGCGUUGUUGAGGGUGUUCAACUAGCUACAAAGAAAAAAGGAAAAUACAUAAAUUUCCGAAAAGCCGAAUAGCAAAGCAGUAAGUGAAGUUUGUGCAAUGUACAAGGGUGGAUUACUGGAUUUCAAGCAACCCUCCAAGAACAGUGUUACAUGUGGUAUACAUUUUAAACCCGACUGUUAUUGGAAAAAGUUUGGAUCUACCACUGAGAUACUGUUAGAGUCUGCUAUACCUACAGUAAAGUAAAAAAAGAUGCACCUGUUACACCACAAAAAAGAAAGCGGACAUCUGCAGCUGCAUUUGCCAAACGGUCAAGACAAAGAGAAACACUAAAUGAUCUGAAAGACAAUUGUAUUCAAACUGAAACUGUACAAUACAGCAAGCAAACACAAACAAGCCAACGCAGAGGAAAACUUGAUAAAAAUACACAAACCAACUUGGAAAGAGCAUCUGUUGCGUGUCAGUGUGACUUGCUUUGUGCACCGCCGCUGCAAAUACUUGUAAGCGAUAGAGAAAUUGUUAAAUGUUCACCCGUCACAACCAGAAAACAUAGAAAGUUGUGAAUUGGAAGAUUCUCACCUCCUAAAAGUACUUCUCAUACUUCAUUUGAUAAUCCCAAGUUCAAAGAGAGAUGAAAGGUAAAGUUAAAUUUUUAAUGAAAAAAAUACAUAGUAUCUGGCUAUGGAUGUUCAGAACUUACAUAAGACACCAAAAAAGGAAAAAUAGUGCACACUUAACACAUACAAGUGUGGAAAAAUAGUCAACAACAGCAAUUGCAAAAGUUGAAAAACAACACAGAAACUUUAGUUGUUGGUGGUGAUGGAAUAUGUGACAACCCAGAACACAUUGCACACUGCUAAAUAUGGUUCUUAUGUAUUAAUGGACUUAAACAACAACAAUAUUUGUUCAACUAGUUAAGGUAUAUGUAUGAUUUACCAACAUACACUACACUCUAGUUAUUUUUUUCUAGGUUGCCUUCACAAAAAUGAGAUAAAAGCAGUAGUUAGGAAAAUGAGGUAAAAGGCAGUAUCUAGCUGAAUGGGUUAAGAUGGGCUGUUUUGAAACUAAAAGAUGAGCACAUAAAGGACAGGUAGAACUUUUUCAUUCAUGUGCACAUCGUGUGUUGGAAUAUUCAAGGGGAAAAUGGCUCAGCAGCCUACCCGCAGUGAUGGUAAACUAUGCUACAGCAUAUCAUUUCCAGGGAGCAAAAAAGGUCGCUACGUACUGCGAAAAGUAAUGACUACAAAAAUUUGUGGGAUUGUGCCUUCAUAGUCUAUAUUGUUAUCCUAAACAUUCAAAAAAAUUUUUUUUUUUUUUUUUUAAAUAUUUCCAGAAUACAUACAAGAACUGUACACCAAAUAGGUUUAAUACAUGGAUGAUGGUUCUUGCUGCUCACCAAUACUUUCUUGUCCACCACCUUUAACCUCUAAUUACCUUAACCUGACAAGGAAUGUGUUUCCUCCACAUCUUUAUCUAGGUCAGAAAUUAAUUAUAAGAAUAAAUCAAAAAUUUGGAUCAG
Molecule: non-coding RNA, 1557 nt
Organism: Ciona intestinalis (vase tunicate)
Lineage: Eukaryota; Metazoa; Chordata; Ascidiacea; Phlebobranchia; Cionidae
Source: RefSeq, a predicted model, not a curated record